AAAGUCGUAACAAGGUUUCCGUAGGUGAACCUGCGGAAGGAUCAUUAAUGAAUUAAAAACAAGGGGGAGUUGUUGCUGGCCGAAAGGUAUAGUGCACGCUCUCCUUUUGUUCAUUCAUCUCACACCUGUGCACCUAUCGUAGGCUGAGCAAUCGGCUUAUGUAUAUUUAUCACACCCUGUAAAGUCUUACGAAUGUACACAAGGCGCUUGCGUCUUUUAAAACUAAUACAACUUUCAACAACGGAUCUCUUGGCUCUC
RNAcentral lists this unclassified non-coding RNA (258 nucleotides) under Basidiomycota sp. RNAcentral's name for it is "partial contains small subunit ribosomal RNA, internal transcribed spacer 1, and 5.8S ribosomal RNA". The stretch from base 1 to 47 matches the Rfam family "Eukaryotic small subunit ribosomal RNA", at positions 1785 to 1831 of the family's 1831-position model. Lineage: Eukaryota; Fungi; Basidiomycota. The record is from RNAcentral.